Long non-coding RNA from Pararge aegeria (speckled wood butterfly), 521 nucleotides. RefSeq lists it as uncharacterized. The record is from RefSeq and is a predicted model, not a curated record. The transcript is spliced from 2 exons. Lineage: Eukaryota; Metazoa; Arthropoda; Insecta; Lepidoptera; Nymphalidae.
GCUAUCGAUGAUAUUUCGUUGUGUUGCGUAGGUACAAAAAAAGCCUCUCUUUUCCAACAAUAUUUAAUAAGCAGUAAUCGUACUUUGAAUUUUGUACCUACAUAUACUGUUAUUCGAUAACAUCGGAUAAUAGUGCAGUUUUCAAUUCCGGAUACAAGAGAACCGAACCAAGGCGAUCAAGGUCGACCGUAUCGAGUAGUGCUCUCAAGAUGGCCUAUAGGCCUAAGAUGCUGGUAUGAAGACUCCAGAAAACGUCGCGUAAAUAGACCUCAACGGUGUGGACAGACCGUAACGGCAAACGAAUAAGCAAAGAGCCACCGGCGGUAAAAGACUGUGGAUUAUGAAAAUUCCCACCGGUGGAAAUCAUGAUGAAGAUGAUUCGACUUACAUGACAGUAUUGUUUGUUCGAUAUUCCGUAACAUCGCAUCGGACUGACGUGUCCAGCUGAACCAGCCUCCGGUCCAACUGCGAAUAAAAAAAAUAUAAAAAAAGAUCAUAUAAUUCAAAUAAAAUAAACAAAA